ACUAAAUAACGGCAUGGACUUUUAGACACACUUUUGACCAUUCGUCUUUUUCAAAAAAAUUACAUAAUUAACAUUUAUUUUGUUGCGAAUUGUUUUAUCACUAAAAAUACUUUAAGCAUGAUUUAUAUCUAAUGCAUUUGCACAAAUUUUUUUAAUAAGACGAAUGGUUAAACGUGUGUCCAAAAGUCAACGAUGUCAUCUAUU
RNAcentral lists this microRNA precursor (204 nucleotides) under Oryza meridionalis. RNAcentral's name for it is "MIR812 microRNA precursor family". It matches the Rfam family "MIR812 microRNA precursor family". The record is from Rfam by way of RNAcentral. Lineage: Eukaryota; Viridiplantae; Streptophyta; Magnoliopsida; Poales; Poaceae.